AUAUUUUAAAUUCCACAUAUGAUAUCAUAUGGAAUUUCUCUUUCCUAUAUUUUAAAUUCCACAUAUGAUAUCAUAUGGAAUUUCUCUUUCUGACUUACUUCAUUUAGUAUGAGAAACUCUAGUUCCAUCCAUGCUCCUGCAAAUGGCAUUUUUUUGUUACUUUUUAUGGCUGAGUAGUAUUCUGGUGUGUACAUGUACCACAUAUUCUUAAUCUAUUCAUGUAUUGAUGGACAUCUAGGCUGUUUCCAUGUCUUGGCUGUUUUGAAUAGUGCUGCAAUGAACGUAGAAAUGUAUGUAUCUUCUUGAAUUGUAGUUUUGUCCAGAUAUAUGCCCAGGAGUGUGAUUGCUGGAUUAUAUGGUAGUUCUAUAUUUAGUUUUCUGAGGUUUUCCUCCCAGUUUAUUCUCUUUCAAGAGAAUAGUAGCAAAAGGUGAAGCCACUGCUUUGCUUUUCUUACAGCUAUAUCAUGAUGGCAGGGGUUGGAAAAGAAGCAUUAGAAAGUAGUAGUCGUAAAAAUAGAUCUAAUUUAUCCCAAUCAUAAACUUACUCAGAAUGCAUAUUCACAAUCAAUUAUGUCUUCUGGCUUCCUGAUCUACAUGACCAGAGAGAAGCCCUUUCCUGGUGUUUGAAAUAUAACAUAUUGCUGCUGUUGAAAAAGGCCUUGUGUUUCCCACAAGUAGCAACUAAUUUCUGAUAGAAUCUCUAGUUUUAAAAAAUAUAUUUAAUGAAUUUGUUUGAUAACUUUAAAACAUUUCUUAUUUAAAAAAUACUUUGUCUUUUUUUGUAUUGCCAAAUAAUUCCUUGUAUACUUCCUUUAGAUAGACUAUUUUAGUAAUAAAAUCUCUCCCAUCUUUUCCCUGAUCAUUCACUGUUUUUACUGGUGUUGAGGGUCAUACUUCAUUCAUACUUCUUUUCUUUCUCCUCCCUUCUGUCACUGUUCUGUAUUCUCUCACUUCCUUGGGCAAUUUCAUGCUUAAUUUUUCAUCGUUUGCUUUUGUUUCUGUAUAAAAACUGAUCUUUUAUAAGACCUUUUGUAUUUUAUUUAGAUACUUUCUCCCUUUUGACAUUACAUUAUUUUCCUUAAGAUUUUCCUUGAAAAAAGGAGUUCCCAUCAUGGCUCAGCAGAAACAAAUCUGACUAGUAUCCAUGAGGAUGCAGGUUCAAUCCCUGCCUCGCUCAGUGGGUUAAGGAUUUGGCAUUGCCGUGAGCUGUGACGUAGGUCAUAGACACGUCUUAGAUCUCAGGUUGCUAUGGCUGUGGUGUGGGCUGAUGGCUGCAGCUCUGAUUUGACCUCUAGCCUGGGAAUCUCCAUAUGCCACAGGUGUG
This 1324-nucleotide long non-coding RNA is filed under the name Sus scrofa (pig). Its description in RNAcentral is "lncRNA (ENSSSCG00000055795.1, ENSSSCG00110013784.1, ENSSSCG00180019240.1)". The record is from RNAcentral. Lineage: Eukaryota; Metazoa; Chordata; Mammalia; Artiodactyla; Suidae.